AACGAACGCUGGCGGCAGGCCUAACACAUGCAAGUCGAACGCUCCGCAAGGGGGAGUGGCGCACGGGUGAGUAACACGUGGGAACCUAUCUUCUGGUACGGAACAACCAAGGGAAACUUUGGCUAAGACCGUAUACGACCUCCGGGUGAAAGAUUGAUCGCCGGAAGAGGGGCCCGCGUCCGAUUAGGUAGUUGGUGAGGUAACGGCUCACCAAGCCUUCGAUCGGUAGCUGGUCUGAGAGGAUGACCAGCCACACUGGGACUGAGACACGGCCCAGACUCCUACGGGAGGCAGCAGUGGGGAAUAUUGGUCAAUGGAUGCAAGUCUGAACCAGCCAUGCCGCGUGCAGGAAGAAGGCGUUAAUG
RNAcentral lists this ribosomal RNA (365 nucleotides) under uncultured bacterium. RNAcentral describes it as "bacterial SSU rRNA". It matches the Rfam family "Bacterial small subunit ribosomal RNA", at positions 29 to 422 of the family's 1533-position model. The record is from RNAcentral.